Long non-coding RNA from Hermetia illucens (black soldier fly), 738 nucleotides. RefSeq lists it as uncharacterized. The transcript is spliced from 3 exons. NCBI's taxonomy places the organism in Eukaryota, Metazoa, Arthropoda, Insecta, Diptera, Stratiomyidae. The record is from RefSeq and is a predicted model, not a curated record.
GCUUGUUUGCCAACCUGUCAAAAACUGUGUCAAGGAAAUCUGAAAAUCCGCAAUUGCUCCUGAAUUUUUUAAAAUCCGUCCCCCAAGUAUCGCCUUCAUAAAUGUUUAAUGCUUGAUUUUAAAUAUUGACCGAAGCGCACUUUCUCAGCAUGAUUGACCGAAUGCAUAAGUUAUUCGAAUUGACGUUCCUGGUGUCCUGUCGUGGUUAACCGCAACAUUAAUGAUUCUCCCAAAGCAAUGUUGAGAGCGGUGGUGAGAGACAGAUUGAAAUAUUUAUGUACUGUCGACAAUGCAACAGUCACAGGAUGUCUUUUCGUAUCACGCCACGAUGCAGAGAGAGAACUAAAUAAAUGGACAUGCCAUCGUGAAAAGUUCUUUACAGUCCGCAAGAUGAAAAGGAUACCAAACCGACAUAUAGCGAAGAGAGUUUGUAGGGGUAUAUUUGGUUGACAAACAUUAUCAGCUGACAGCAGAGAAAUAUGGAAAGUACAAAGCAAACAGUGUGGGAAACUAUUUCUCCUUUUGCACAAACACAGUGGACUGGAUUCUGCUUUAAUGGAGCAAGAAAGUGUUUUCCACUCGCAAAGGAGAGUCUAAAAUAUUUGCAUAUUAAUUUUCUGAGCUUUUCGCUGAAGUAAUCAUUAUCCAUUGAACUACGCAAAGGGAACCAUGGAAGGUGGCUCGAUUGAGAGAGAUUUUCUUUGCGAUGCAGUUUAUUAAAAAUUCUUGGUCUAGGCG